RNAcentral lists this ribosomal RNA (327 nucleotides) under uncultured eukaryote. Its description in RNAcentral is "partial 18S ribosomal RNA". It matches the Rfam family "Eukaryotic small subunit ribosomal RNA", at positions 1470 to 1796 of the family's 1831-position model. The record is from RNAcentral.
CCCUUAGAUGUUCUGGGCCGCACGCGCGCUACACUGAUGCAUGCAACAAGUCCUUUCCUUGGCCGAGAGGCCUGGGCAAUCUUUGAAUAUGCAUCGUGAUGGGGAUAGACGAUUGCAAUUAUUCGUCUUCAACGAGGAAUUCCUAGUAAACGCAAGUCAUCAGCUUGCAUUGAUUACGUCCCUGCCCUUUGUACACACCGCCCGUCGCACCUACCGAUUGAAUGGUCCGGUGAAGGCUUCGGAGGCGGCUUUCUCAAUGUUUAUUCGGCGAGACUGCUGCCAAAGUUGAAUGAACCUUACCAUUUAGAGGAAGGUGAAGUCGUAACA